This 429-nucleotide ribosomal RNA is filed under the name uncultured bacterium. Its description in RNAcentral is "bacterial SSU rRNA". It matches the Rfam family "Bacterial small subunit ribosomal RNA", at positions 355 to 775 of the family's 1533-position model. The record is from RNAcentral.
UGAGGAAUCUUGCGCAAUGGGGGAAACCCUGACGCAGCAACGCCGCGUGAGUGAGGAAGGUCUUCGGGUCGUAAAGCUCUGUCAGGCGGGAAGAAAUGCAUGGAGGUGAACAGCCGCCGUGCUUGACGGUACCGCCAGAGGAAGCACCGGCUAACUCCGUGCCAGCAGCCGCGGUAAUACGGGGGGUGCAAGCGUUGUUCGGAAUCACUGGGCGUAAAGAGCGUGUAGGCGGCUUGGUAAGUCAGAUGUGAAAGCCCUGGGCUCAACCCGGGAAGUGCAUUUGAAACUGUCAGGCUCGAGUAGGGGAGAGGGAAGUGGAAUUCCUGGUGUAGAGGUGAAAUUCGUAGAUAUCAGGAGGAACACCGGUGGCGAAGGCGACUUCCUGGCCCUAUACUGACGCUGAGACGCGAGAGCGUGGGUAGCAAACAG